CGGUGUGUGGCGCAGCUUGGUAGCGCACUGUCAUGGGGUGUCAGGGGUCGGAGGUUCAAAUCCUCUCACACCGACCA
RNAcentral lists this transfer RNA (77 nucleotides) under Alteromonas sp. RNAcentral describes it as "tRNA-Pro". It matches the Rfam family "tRNA". From Rfam's summary of the family: Transfer RNA (tRNA) molecules are approximately 80 nucleotides in length. Lineage: Bacteria; Pseudomonadati; Pseudomonadota; Gammaproteobacteria; Alteromonadales; Alteromonadaceae. RNAcentral also lists the same sequence under 56 other names. The record is from RNAcentral.